RNAcentral lists this ribosomal RNA (481 nucleotides) under uncultured bacterium. Its description in RNAcentral is "bacterial SSU rRNA". It matches the Rfam family "Bacterial small subunit ribosomal RNA", at positions 28 to 504 of the family's 1533-position model. The record is from RNAcentral.
GGCGAACGCUGGCGGCGGGCCUAACACAUGCAAGUCGUACGCGGGGUUCUCCUUCGGGAGAACUGCCGAGUGGCGAACGGGUGCGUAACGCGUAGGUAACCUGCCCUCGAGUGGGGGAUAACUCCGGGAAACCGGGGCUAAUACCGCAUAUUGUCCCGGGACCGCAUGGCUCCGGGAUGAAAGCCCUCUGGGCGCUCGAGGAUGGGCCUGCGUCGGAUUAGCUAGUUGGUGGGGUAACGGCCCACCAAGGCGACGAUCCGUAGCUGGUCUGAGAGGACGACCAGCCACACUGGCACUGAGACACGGGCCAGACUCCUACGGGAGGCAGCAGUGGGGAAUCUUGGGCAAUGGGCGAAAGCCUGACCCAGCCACGCCGCGUGGAGGAUGAAGCCCUUCGGGGUGUAAACUCCUUUUCUGGGGGAAGAAAUCCCGGCUAUGGUCGGGACUGACGGUACCCCAGGAAUAAGCGCCGGCUAACUCC